RNAcentral lists this ribosomal RNA (420 nucleotides) under Fusobacteriota bacterium. Its description in RNAcentral is "Fusobacteria bacterium partial 16S ribosomal RNA". It matches the Rfam family "Bacterial small subunit ribosomal RNA", at positions 355 to 776 of the family's 1533-position model. Lineage: Bacteria; Fusobacteriati; Fusobacteriota. The record is from RNAcentral.
UGGGGGAUAUUGCACAAUGGGCGAAAGCCUGAUGCAGCGACGCCGCGUGGGGGAUGAAGGCCUUCGGGUUGUAAACUUCUUUUGCUCUGAACAAGGCAUGCCUUUGGGGUGUGGUGAGUGUAGGGGUCGAUUAGCGCCGGCUAACUACGUGCCAGCAGCCGCGGUAAUACGUAGGGCGCGAGCGUUGUCCGGAAUUAUUGGGCGUAAAGGGCUUGUAGGUGGCUGGUUGCGUCUGUCGUGAAAGCUCAUGGCUUAACUGUGGGUUUGCGGUGGGUACGGGCUGGCUUGAGUGCAGUAGGGGAGGCUGGAAUUCCUGGUGUAGCGGUGGAAUGCGCAGAUAUCAGGAGGAAUACCGGUGGCGAAGGCGGGUCUCUGGGCUGUUACUGACGCUGAGGAGCGAAAGCGUGGGGAGCGAACAGG